GAAUGUUGUUUCUCGAGUGUCGGGAGCAACUUUCGCUGAGGCCAAGUGCCGAACCCUAAAAUAGUGCGUUGGGAUUUCUUCGUUCCUAGACCACUAAUGUAGGAACGGCAGGACGCGAUUGUGAAGGAACUGAGAUGGAAACCAAGAGUAAAACGGAGCUGAAAAUGAAGAGUCCCAGGGUACAGACAAUUUGGAGGGGAUUGCAACCCUAUCUCGGAGCUCUGUUGUUGUGCUUCAACCUUUGCUGUAGUAAUUGCUUGUUUCGAUCCAUCACGCCUUUCAUCGCCAACCAGUCUAGCAGCAACCUACGCUCCCGCAACGUUGCCAUGCAGGCUUUCCUUGCCGCGUUUCAGUACGUAGCUAUUCACUGCAUUUUUGCAGGUUUCAUGUGGUAGUCCUAUUGGAGGUUUCGGGUUUUGGAUCACAUGAUGUGUGGUACCCGGGCGUGAAGAGGAGUUCAUACUAGUAGAAUCGGGUAUCUGCGACUGUUUUUUUCAAAAAAUGAAUCAGGUGAUCAGUAGCUGCGUGGCGUCUGGUGUGCUUGCGAAUUUGUUGUCUGAAUUUGUUCACGAUGACGUGUUCUCAGAUGAGUCCACGAGGAAAGAAACAGGUUAUCGGGAAUAUCUCGCGAGUAUCCAGGCCUCGAAGGUUUGCCUCUUUAGUGUUCCACGUAUUCUUCUGUAAUCCAGCCGUGGUUCUGCUGUUAUAGGACGCUGAAUGUUGUUGUUCCAUCGUGGAGAUGCUACAUUGCAUUAAAUCUUUACAGUAGAUUAGUUCUAGUGAAUAGCCAGGUGGAUACUAUAAGAUGCGCUCACUGCACCUCUGAUAAGACAUUCAAAAGGUUUCUCUUUGUUGAAAUGCCUGUGGACGCAUGAACUUUGAUGCUAUCUGAAGUGGUUUAGAUAUUUGAUGUCAAGUACGUAGGACAUGUGAAUGUUGUGCUGUAUCAUAUUUCGUUGCCAUUUGGAAGUUUCCGUGCUGAAGCUUUGUUUUCUACUUCCCCUGUCUAUUCUUCAGGCCGUGGCAGAUGUUAUUUGAGCAACACUGGGGCUGAUGUCUAUGCUUAAGACGUUACUCGAUGCUAGUGAGGGUAUUGCACUUGAGUGGCAAAGUCUUUUCCACCAUCGUCAUUUUCAUGUCAACAUUCUCUUAGUGUUGAAAUUUGUGACACCGUUUCUAACAACUCUAUGACGGUGUUGUUGCGCGUAACGAGGUUUAUGCUGAGGAUCUUUGUUCUUUUGGCAGAUAUUAAAUUCUUAAACUAUGGAAUUGCAAUCUUAAGAGAGGUUGGUAUUUUCCAUGUUGCUGCUGCAAGGCUAGCUAUUGUGGUGCUCGGCGAGUAAUGACUGCAUCAGAAUCGUGACGAGUCAUGUUGCGCGUUGACUUUGAAUUCAUUAUGCAAUGAGUGUGGUCGUGCAAUGUUGGAUGUGCAACAUCGACUUUUGCUUGAUACCGGGAAUCUAUGAUGGAGCUCAGUCGUACGUAAGAUGAAGAGGUUGAUGAUGGAACUGCGUCGGUGAUCGUUCUGGAAGAUUUCAUCUUAAUUUGAACAGUGCACAACUUGACUGGCAGACGUCCUGCCUUUAUAGAACGGAGAUGCACUUGCGACCACUUCUACUGUCUUAUGAGAAACACGCCAGAUUAUUUUACUGCCUCGCAGCAGUUACUCACUUUCUUUGGCACAUCACUUUCAGAAGAAUCGUAUCGAUGAGCUGGCGAGAUGUUCUGUGUUGCCAAGCAAGUUCUUGGUUUGCAGUUACACCUCAUUGUCAUAUGCCGAGGUUGACACACUCAAACUCCUCGUUCAGCAUAUUUAAAGACUUUGAAGAAUGCGUUGUUCUGAAGGAGAUUGCUUUGACAUUGAUGUCAUAGAUUAGCUCCUGUACUGCCAAUGGAGGAAGAGUAUUUUGAGUACAUAAUUGUUCAAACAAUAAAGUUCAAGCCUUAUUUGGUGAUUACUAGGGACGGAUACCUGGCCCCAAAUUUCCUACCAAGGCGGAUAUUAGAGCAAUUCGCAAGCUAAGAUGGUCAGAUAACAACCUUAUUGCUCAUGCUGGUUGGGCUACUGUUGUAAAUCGGUCACAAGAACUCCAGGAGAAUGAUGUCGGUACUCGUUGUGACUUGUUUGAAGUCAAAAAUAUUGGGGGUGAGCACCUCCAAUUCAUUGGCGCGUGAUUCCAUGGAGGUCGCAAUAUUAUCAAAGAUGAAUAAUUGGUUCCAGGUAGAGGAGCCUCAGAAAUGGCUGUCGCAGCUACAUUGGAGAAAAAGAGCAUGUCGAUUAAAGCUGCGAACAGGUUGGUCACUGUAUACAGAGCAUGUGUAACGGAGACCUUGUUUUAAAAUUGGCGAAAGAGAUUACAAUCAAUGGAUGUUUUCCUGAGUUAAAUAAUCUUGCCAAUCCUAGUUAUUUACUCUUGAAGGACCAAUCGACCAUUUACGGGGCUGCCUAAAAAUUUAAAGACCUAUUUUUGCUUUUCGGUGGGUGUGUGUGUGCGUGUAGUAUGUGAAUGUUUGCUUAUUUACUUAUUUGUUUACAUUUUGUUUUUCUUUGUUUUGUUUUGUUUUUUUUUUUUUUUCAUGUUUUUUGGUUCGUGGUUUGCAAACAGAGAAUUGAGAUCAAGGCCAUCAAGUUUUUGUAAUGUUGAGAUAACUGUAUGUGGGACUCAAUAGACCUUGGGAUAGUGAAAAUAUCUUUGGCGUGUUUUUGACCUAGCUAUUAUUAAAAAAAAGCAGAUACCUAGGUUAGUACUUCAGUCUGCAGUUACUUGAUGAACGACUUGGUAUAUGUCCUAUUAUAUUCACCUUCACUUGAAUGCUCUAAGUUCCUAAAUCAUUUUGCUUGUCAUGAUCAAGCAGGUGUGGGAGUCAUUUAGUUACAUUUUAGACUUUAGUUACAGACUGUAAAAGCUCUAACAAAGCUGCUUGCAUUCUUUUAGGAAUUGAUGACAUCGUAAAUGGUAUUAAGAAGAAGACAGACUCCGGAGCUUCUUCCAAGAAGUCCGUAACAUCCUCUGGGGAAGGUCUUAAUAUUGAGAAAUUGAAUCCGAAAGUUUUUCACGUAAGGUAGAUUAAAUGCUACAUAAUUCUUGUGGAUCAUGAAGACCAAGAUGUUUGUUACUAAGCCCUACCCAGCUUGUCUUGUAAGGGAUAGCUACCUUGCACGAGGAAUAUGGGUGACUUGAGUGUGCUGCCUCCGCAUCCUUCUCUUUGCCUAGGGUGGUCUAAAAGGUGGAGCUAGAAGAAAGGUGGCUGAGAAUGUUGACAGUAAUGAAUUCGGAUUCUGCCGUCGACAGCCUGAGAGUUGACUUGUGUUCUUUGCCAUAGAUGGUUUUAGCUCAAGUUUUGGGAGUUCGAAAUCCAAGGUUUUUCAAUCAAAUUCAAUGGGACGUAAGAAUUUUUUGGCGGUUGUCUCGGGAUCAAAUCAUAGAGUAUGUCCCGAUAGUUACUAAGCACAAGUGGGCUUUGUGUUCAUAGGCAGUUGCACGUGAUUUGGCGAUUGACCUUUCGGAUGGGUUUUUGGAUGAGGAUGAGACGAACAGUAUUCGAAGACCUAUGCUCUUGAGUGGCAUAGAUAUUGUCUUUGCUGGCACUUAUCUUUAAUGUGUCAAUUUCAGUUCUUGGAGGCCUGCAUGUGGUCUGCUCCGAUCAGAAUGUGCAUGGAUCUUGUCUACGUUGUUGAUAAAAUCUAUUUUGCAGGAUUUUUAAUUGUGCUUUCAUCAGGGUGAGCAAUCCCAUUUCUAGAGUCAACCAUUUUGGUGUAGUGCUCCUUCGCCGAAAGAAGUCAGAAUUCCUUGUUUCAGGAUUGACUGCUUCCAGUUACAAUCAUACCGCAUACGCAGACUUACUGUGUGCAUGUACUGGUGGAAAGGCAGGGCUUAUUAAUAGGAGUGGAACUCGAGCAGCACUGUGGUUCUGGAAGUUGUCUCUUCAGCCCUGGAUGUGUCACAUAAGCAUACAUGGGGUUUUGUGAGGCAGGUCUUUAUUUCCUCUAAGGGACACUUAAUCUAAAGCUGGCUACAAGUGUGUAAAGCUUGGCUUUGUCUACACCUGUCACUGCCAUUAUCUUUCUAGACCCACUCAUACCUAUGCCGUCCGGCACCUUGUCUGCUGUAGGUCUUGCCAUUGUUUCCGGAUGACUGACAUAGUCACGCGUGUGUUUUGAUCCUUUGAAUUUUGUCCUCAUAGGGUGCAAGUGGCGCUGGAUUGAGUUUGUCCUUUACAGAUUCCUCUGUGUUGUACUUGGUUACUUGCGAUGAUUCGUAUAGUUACAUCACAUGGUAUAGUUAUGCGUCACACGACUUUACUCCUUCAAUGCCUUUUAUCCUCGAUAUUCGAAUCAUGUAGAUGAUGACUGAAAAGAAAAAACUAACAUGCAUGUGCGUUGCUGUGCAACACUUGCUGUUAGAUGUUUUGUUAA
Physcomitrium patens is the source of this 4417-nucleotide non-coding RNA. Lineage: Eukaryota; Viridiplantae; Streptophyta; Bryopsida; Funariales; Funariaceae. The record is from RefSeq and is a predicted model, not a curated record.